Molecule: ribosomal RNA, 250 nt
Filed under: uncultured bacterium
Lineage: Bacteria
Description: partial 16S ribosomal RNA
Rfam family: Bacterial small subunit ribosomal RNA
Source: RNAcentral
UCGAGAAUCAUUCGCAAUGGGCGAAAGCCUGACGAUGCGACGCCGUGUGAGCGAAGAAGGCCUUCGGGUCGUAAAGCUCUUUCGCUUGGGAACAAGAAAGGCUGACUAAUAUUCAGCUAAUUUGAGCGUACCAGGUAAAGAAGCACCGGCUAACUCCGUGCCAGCAGCUGCGGUAAUACGGAGGGUGCAAGCAUUAAUCGGAUUUAUUGGGCGUAAAGGGCGCGUAGGCGGGGAUAUAAGUCAGACGUGA